ACAACCCUAUGCGGUGGAUCACUUGGCUCGCGAGUCGAUGAAGAGCGCAGCAAACUGCGUGAAUUAAUGUGAUUUGCAGGACACAUUAAUCAUCGAUAUCUUGAACGCAUAUUGCGGUUAUGGAUCGCUUCCAUGACCACGCCUGUCUGAGGGUCGGUAUUAAUAU
RNAcentral lists this ribosomal RNA (166 nucleotides) under Brachionus calyciflorus. RNAcentral's name for it is "5.8S ribosomal RNA". It matches the Rfam family "5.8S ribosomal RNA". From Rfam's summary of the family: 5.8S ribosomal RNA (5.8S rRNA) is a component of the large subunit of the eukaryotic ribosome. It is transcribed by RNA polymerase I as part of the 45S precursor that also contains 18S and 28S rRNA. The record is from RNAcentral. Lineage: Eukaryota; Metazoa; Rotifera; Eurotatoria; Ploima; Brachionidae.